This 229-nucleotide ribosomal RNA is filed under the name uncultured bacterium. RNAcentral's name for it is "partial 16S ribosomal RNA". It matches the Rfam family "Bacterial small subunit ribosomal RNA", at positions 568 to 796 of the family's 1533-position model. The record is from RNAcentral.
UGCGUAGGCGGAAUAUUAAGUCAGUGGUGAAAUCCUGCAGCUUAACUGUAGAACAGCCAUUGAUACUGUUAUUCUUGAAUUUAGUUGAGGUGGGCGGAACGUGUAAUGUAGCGGUGAAAUGCUUAGAUAUUACACAGAACACCGAUUGCGAAGGCAGCUCACUAAACUAACAUUGACGCUGAGGCACGAAAGCGUGGGUAGCGAACAGGAUUAGAUACCCUGGUAGUCC